This is a long non-coding RNA of Beta vulgaris subsp. vulgaris (sugar beet), 1322 nucleotides long. RefSeq lists it as uncharacterized. The record is from RefSeq and is a predicted model, not a curated record. NCBI's taxonomy places the organism in Eukaryota, Viridiplantae, Streptophyta, Magnoliopsida, Caryophyllales, Amaranthaceae. The transcript has 4 exons.
UACCAUAAAUCCUAGCUCGCAGAGUUUACAUGGUACAUACAUAUUCGCUCUUCAUUUGAUUAUUUUCUGUUCCUGGAUAACUAGCAUAUGUAUUUUCUACUGAACGUUUUGUUAAUCUAAGCAAAUAAAGUUCUUUGCAGUGCAAUUAUUGUAAUGUGGAUGAAAACGACAUUGCAGAGCAUCUUAGGGAACGUUUGAAGAGAGAACAAGAAGAGAAAGAGCAUAAGAAGAAGGAAAAGGCAGAGGCACACUUAUAUACCAUUAUAAAGGUUGCACGAGAUGACGACUUGAUGGAACAGAUAGGAAAGGAUAUCUAUUUUGAUCUCGUAGACCAUGAUAAAGUGAAAUCUUUCCGGAUUCAGAUUCAGAUGCCAUUUAAUCUUUUCAAGAAUCGUCAUACAUAUGAGAAGCCUUUAAAAAUCUACAAUUAGAGUGAUUUGGAGAUUGAGUUUUCUUUGCAUGGGCUCAUUCUGGCAACCUUGAGGGGCCCUAAUGCCAUCUGUAAGUUGCAGUUCAUUGAUCGAGGGGAAGCCACCUCUCAGUAUAUCAAACGCCUCGGUCUGUAUUACAGAUGCCUCGGUGAGCGUAAUCCGUGGAUGGUGUCGGUGAAGGGUUAUGGUGGAUUUUGUUAGCUGUAUAAUUCUUUCUUGUAGUGUUUAUGGAGGAUCGUUUUCUGAUGCGGUAUUUGAUUUUUCUUGUCGGCCACAACUUCACAACCCUCGUCAGGCUUUCACGUCUUCCGUUUUUCUCUUAUGGAGUUGGUUUCUUCUAUUGGCUGUAUGUGUUCUUCAGUACUCAACCUUAGUUGUAAGUUUAAAAAGCAGUACAUAAAUGAGAUUUUGGCUUUAGGGAUGUAUACACAGUAUAGUUGGGGUCCCCACCAUUUUUUUUUUCCUUUUGUUCACCUCUUGUUUAUUUAGGCAUGUCUAGUUUAUGGGGGAGUUUGUGGACUGGUAAUUUUAUCUUUUGAUUGUUAUUAAGCUCCCCUGCUUUCUUUCUUUCUUUCUUUCUUUCUUUCUUUCUUUCUGCUCUCUCUGUAAAAGAAGUUUGUCAGGUACAGCCUCGACGAGUCAUAAUGAGUAAAGAUUUUACAAUUUCUGUGCUUUGUAAGACUACUACCGCUGUGUUCAUCGGACCAAGGGUGUUUGGUGUAGUGGACUGGGUGAGUAGUGGAUUGUGUUCAUAUGUAAAAGAAGUUUUCUCAUAAGGAAGUUUUGCUGUUUAGUUGUAUUUGAUUUUGUUACAGUUGAUACAUCUCUUGGCUGGUCAUGUAUUCAGUUGUGAUUUUUUGGCUCCUGUUAUAAGAUGGAAUUUUUGUUUCU